RNAcentral lists this ribosomal RNA (245 nucleotides) under uncultured bacterium. RNAcentral's name for it is "partial 16S ribosomal RNA". It matches the Rfam family "Bacterial small subunit ribosomal RNA", at positions 524 to 768 of the family's 1533-position model. The record is from RNAcentral.
GACGGAGGGGGCAAGCGUUGUCCGGACUCACUGGGCGUAAAGGGCGCGUAGGCGGUGGGUUGCGUCGGUGCUGAAAGCGCCCCGCUUAACGGGGCGAGGCGUGCCGAUACGAACCCACUCGAGGACGGGAGACGCUGGCGGAAUUCCGGGUGUAGUGGUGAAAUGCGUAGAGAUCCGGAGGAACGCCUGUGGCGCAAGCGGCCAGCGAACUCGUAUCUGACGCUGAGGCGCGAAAGCGUGGGGAG